Molecule: ribosomal RNA, 429 nt
Filed under: Gemmatimonadota bacterium
Lineage: Bacteria; Pseudomonadati; Gemmatimonadota
Description: Gemmatimonadetes bacterium partial 16S ribosomal RNA
Rfam family: Bacterial small subunit ribosomal RNA
Source: RNAcentral
UAGGGAAUCUUCGGCAAUGGACGAAAGUCUGACCGAGCAACGCCGCGUGAGUGAAGAAGGUUUUCGGAUCGUAAAACUCUGUUGUUAGAGAAGAACAAGGACGUUAGUAACUGAACGUCCCCUGACGGUAUCUAACCAGAAAGCCACGGCUAACUACGUGCCAGCAGCCGCGGUAAUACGUAGGUGGCAAGCGUCGUCCGGAUUUAUUGGGCGUAAAGCGAGCGCAGGCGGUUUCUUAAUGCUGAUGUGAAAGCCCCCGGCUCAACCGGGGAGGGUCAUUGGAAACUGGGAGACUUGAGUGCAGAAGAGGAGAGUGGAAUUCCAUGUGUGGCGGUGAAAUGCGUAGAUAUAUGGAGGAACACCAGUGGCUAAGGCGGCUCUCUGGUCUGUUACUGACGCUGAGGCUCGAAAGCGUGGGGAGCAAACAGG